This 767-nucleotide ribosomal RNA is filed under the name Kocuria palustris. RNAcentral describes it as "bacterial SSU rRNA". It matches the Rfam family "Bacterial small subunit ribosomal RNA", at positions 27 to 803 of the family's 1533-position model. Lineage: Bacteria; Bacillati; Actinomycetota; Actinomycetes; Micrococcales; Micrococcaceae. The record is from RNAcentral.
GGACGAACGCUGGCGGCGUGCUUAACACAUGCAAGUCGAACGCUGAAGCACCAGCUUGCUGGUGUGGAUGAGUGGCGAACGGGUGAGUAAUACGUGAGUAACCUGCCCUUGACUCUGGGAUAAGCCCGGGAAACUGGGUCUAAUACUGGAUGCUACAUGUCACCGCAUGGUGGUGUGUGGAAAGGGUUUACUGGUCUUGGAUGGGCUCACGGCCUAUCAGCUUGUUGGUGAGGUAAUGGCUCACCAAGGCGACGACGGGUAGCCGGCCUGAGAGGGUGACCGGCCACACUGGGACUGAGACACGGCCCAGACUCCUACGGGAGGCAGCAGUGGGGAAUAUUGCACAAUGGGCGAAAGCCUGAUGCAGCGACGCCGCGUGAGGGAUGACGGCCUUCGGGUUGUAAACCUCUUUCAGCAGGGAAGAAGCCACAAGUGACGGUACCUGCAGAAGAAGCGCCGGCUAACUACGUGCCAGCAGCCGCGGUAAUACGUAGGGCGCAAGCGUUGUCCGGAAUUAUUGGGCGUAAAGAGCUCGUAGGCGGUUUGUCGCGUCUGCUGUGAAAGCCCGGGGCUUAACCCCGGGUGUGCAGUGGGUACGGGCAGACUAGAGUGCAGUAGGGGAGACUGGAAUUCCUGGUGUAGCGGUGGAAUGCGCAGAUAUCAGGAGGAACACCGAUGGCGAAGGCAGGUCUCUGGGCUGUUACUGACGCUGAGGAGCGAAAGCAUGGGGAGCGAACAGGAUUAGAUACCCUGGUAGUCCAUGCCGU